Molecule: ribosomal RNA, 924 nt
Filed under: uncultured Bacteroidota bacterium
Lineage: Bacteria; Pseudomonadati; Bacteroidota
Description: bacterial SSU rRNA
Rfam family: Bacterial small subunit ribosomal RNA
Source: RNAcentral
GGAUCCAGACUUUGAUUAUGGCUCAGGAUGAACGCUAGCUACAGGCUUAACACAUGCAAGUCGAGGGGAAACGAUAGAGAAAGCUUGCUUUUUCUAGGCGUCGACCGGCGCACGGGUGAGUAACGCGUAUCCAACCUGCCCACCACUUGGGGAUAACCUUGCGAAAGUAAGACUAAUACCCAAUGAUAUCUCAAGAAGACAUCUGAAAGAGAUUAAAGAUUUAUCGGUGAUGGAUGGGGAUGCGUCUGAUUAGCUUGUUGGCGGGGUAACGGCCCACCAAGGCGACGAUCAGUAGGGGUUCUGAGAGGAAGGUCCCCCACAUUGGAACUGAGACACGGUCCAAACUCCUACGGGAGGCAGCAGUGAGGAAUAUUGGUCAAUGGGCGAGAGCCUGAACCAGCCAAGUAGCGUGCAGGAUGACGGCCCUAUGGGUUGUAAACUGCUUUUAUAAGGGAAUAAAGUGAGCCUCGUGAGGCUUUUUGCAUGUACCUUAUGAAUAAGGACCGGCUAGUUCCGUGCCAGCAGCCGCGGUAAUACGGAAGGUCCGGGCGUUAUCCGGAUUUAUUGGGUUUAAAGGGAGCGUAGGCCGGAGAUUAAGCGUGUUGUGAAAUGUAGAUGCUCAACAUCUGCACUGCAGCGCGAACUGGUUUCCUUGAGUACGCACAAAGUGGGCGGAAUUCGUGGUGUAGCGGUGAAAUGCUUAGAUAUCACGAAGAACUCCGAUUGCGAAGGCAGCUCACUGGAGCGCAACUGACGCUGAAGCUCGAAAGUGCGGGUAUCGAACAGGAUUAGAUACCCUGGUAGUCCGCACGGUAAACGAUGGAUGCCCGCUGUUGGUCUGAAUAGGUCAGCGGCCAAGCGAAAGCAUUAAGCAUCCCACCUGGGGAGUACGCCGGCAACGGUGCAACUCAAAUGAAUUGACGG